AGUGAACGCUGGCGGUAGGCCUAACACAUGCAAGUCGAACGGCAGCACAGUAAGAGCUUGCUCUUACGGGUGGCGAGUGGCGGACGGGUGAGGAAUACAUCGGAAUCUACUUUUUCGUGGGGGAUAACGUAGGGAAACUUACGCUAAUACCGCAUACGACCUACGGGUGAAAGCAGGGGAUCUUCGGACCUUGCGCGAUUGAAUGAGCCGAUGUCGGAUUAGCUAGUUGGCGGGGUAAAGGCCCACCAAGGCGACGAUCCGUAGCUGGUCUGAGAGGAUGAUCAGCCACACUGGAACUGAGACACGGUCCAGACUCCUACGGGAGGCAGCAGUGGGGAAUAUUGGACAAUGGGCGCAAUCCUGAUCCAGCCAUACCGCGUGGGUGAAGAAGGUCUUCGGGUUGUAAAGCCCUUUUGUUGGGAAAGAAAAGCAGCAGGUUAAUACCCCGCUGUUCUGACGGUACCCAAAGAAUAAGCACCGGCUAACUUCGUG
This 492-nucleotide ribosomal RNA is filed under the name uncultured bacterium. RNAcentral's name for it is "partial 16S ribosomal RNA". It matches the Rfam family "Bacterial small subunit ribosomal RNA", at positions 29 to 507 of the family's 1533-position model. The record is from RNAcentral.